GGGGGUGUAACUCAGUUGGUAGAGUAACCGUUUUGCAUACGGGCAGUCGCGGGUUCAAAUCCCGCCAUCUCCA
RNAcentral lists this transfer RNA (73 nucleotides) under Marophrys sp. SRT127. RNAcentral describes it as "tRNA-Ala". It matches the Rfam family "tRNA". From Rfam's summary of the family: Transfer RNA (tRNA) molecules are approximately 80 nucleotides in length. The record is from RNAcentral. Lineage: Eukaryota; Centroplasthelida; Acanthocystida.